CUGAAAUACAUUUAUUAGUCUGUAAGGUGCCACAGGUACUCCUGUUCUUUUUAUUAAUUAAGGUAACUUCCGGAUGUUCCUUCAGUGCUCUGCUGUGGCUGGCAACCUGUUCAGCAAAUUCCUUCUGUAAGGUUUGAGGCCUUUUUUCUGUAGUCACAUUAGGAGAGCAGCAGUCAUAAGCCAAGAAACAGAAAAUCACAUCCUUACAUUCCCGCUAAAUUAUACCAAAACAAUGUAAUAUUGGGCUGUUCAGAACGUACUCCUGUCCUAAUGGUAUCCUCCAUCACCAGAUAAAGAAACAGAUGUUUAAAGAAAACUUUGUUUGAUAACAUUCUGUCUGGAAAGGAACCACUUAUCAACUGUCAUGAUUGUGAAAUCUAUACUUCUUUAUUGUUUUGUCUUUAUGGUCCCUACUUCUCUAUUGUUUAUCUGUAUGGUCUCUUUAAUUGUUUGUCAGUUGCAUAACUAAUUUUGCAAGAUUUAAAUUGACUAAGGUGGGGGUAAAAUUGGUUAAAGAAUUGUUUCACAAUAUGUUAGGAUUGGUCAAAGAAUUAUUUUGUAGAACUUUUGUUUAAAAUGUUUGGUUAAGGUAUAACUAUGUAGGCCUCAAGUUUAAUUACUAGAGUCCAGAAGGAAGUUCUUUGGACUCUAACUCCAGGACACAGCCCAAGAUCAGAGCUGCCAGACUUCAACACCUUCCAAUCACACUGUGCAGAAGCUGGAGUAUACAGAUGACCUGAUCCUGGAAGGCAGGAAACGUUCGUCUGCCUUAUUGGGACUGAUUGCUGUGUGCUUUAAAAACAAACAAAGCAGACAAACAAAAAGAAAAACCAGGGAAAACAGAACUUCAGGAAAAGCUGGCACCAGCUGAAGAGCAACCCCAAAUACCAUGGAGUUACUGUCACAAGGAAGACUGUGUUUUGUGUUUUAUGUUUUGUGUUGUUUGUCUUGUUGCUAUCAUUGUUGUAUAUUGUGUUAAAAAAAUGAGAUACUGCAUUAGGCAGAAAAGGAUUGGUGAGCUCUUUUCCUGUAUUUACAGAAACAAAUAUUGCAGAAGGGCAGAGGUCAAGGAACACUAGUCUGUUCACAUGGCUCAUAGUCAUCCUGUGAUCAACCAAAACACUAAGCUCUUCCUCCUACCCUGUCACUUCCAACUGAUAAGUGCCAAACUUAUAGCAGAAAUUCUCAUUGUUAGUCCCUAAAUGCAUGACUUUGCACUUUGAGCUAUUAAAUAUCAUCCCAUUUUUAUUACUCCAGUUUACAAGGUCAUCCAGAUCUUCUUGUAUGGUAUUCUGGUCCUCCUCAGUAUUGGCAAUACCUCUCAACUUUGUGCCAUCUGCAAAUUUUAUUAGCACACUCCCACUUUUUGUGCCAAGAUCCGUAAUAAAAAAUGUUAAAUAAGGUUGGUCCCAAGACUGAUCAUUGAGGAACUCCACUAGUAACCUCCCUCUAGACUGACAGCUCGCCAUUCAGUGUGACCUGUUGUAGAUCUCCCUUUAACCAGCUCCUUUAAUAAUAAUGGCUUUGGUAAAAAGUGAGGACAGUAGGGUCUGAGGCAUUAGGACAGCCGCAGCCAUGAGUCAAGCAGCAGAAAGUCACAUCCUCACAUUCCCUCUAAAUUAUAUCAAAACAAAGUAAUUGAGCAGUUAAGAAGGGGCUCCUGUCCUAAUGGUACCCACCAUUACCAGGUAAAGAAACAGAUCUUAAGAUAUUUCAAUAAAAUUUUCAUAGCCUUGUGUCUUGCAAGGAAUCACUUAUCAAUAGUUGUGACAGUGAAAUCCAUACUUCUAUUGUUUUGCCUUUAUGGUCCCAACUUCUCUAUUGUUUAUUUGUAUGGUCUCUGAUUCUUUAAUUGUUUCUGACUGUUGCAUAACUAAUUUUGCAAGAUUUAAAUCAACGAAGUUGGUGGGGUAUGAUUGGUUAAAUAAUUGGUUUGCAAUAUGUUAGGAUUGCUCAAGAAUUAUUUUGUAGUACUUUAGUUUUAAAUAAUUGGUUAAGAUAUAACUAAGCACAACUCAAGUUUAACUUUAUAAACUGGGGUCCAAAAGAAAGUUCUUUGGAACCUAACUCCAGGACAGAGCCCAGGAUCAGAGCUGCCAGAUCUCAACAUCCUGCCAACUGUAUCAUGCAGAAGUUGGAAUCCCUGGCCGACCUGAUUCUGUCUGGCCAUCAGGAAAAUUCUGUCUGCCUUAUUGGGAGUGGUAACAUCUCUGUGACUGAGUUUCCCAUCUGUAAUUAGAACAUAAGAACGGCCAUACUGGGUCAGACAAAGGUCCAUCCAGCCCAGCAUCCUGUCUUCUAACAGUGGCCAAUGCCAGGUGCCCCUGAGGGAAUGAACAGAACAAGAGAGGAGCUCCAGAAUUCUGUGGUGCGAAGUGUAAGAGAACAUCAGCACAUUGUAUUUUUACAAACCAGGAAUGAGAAUGAAUGUAACUGAGAGCGAAUGCAACUGAGAGCCGACAAUUGAAACUCUGCCACAGUGCUCUGUGGGCUGUCUGAAAUCUAGCAGCAGCAGGGGAGUGUUUCUAGGUACUGUUGCAGAAGAGUCUCUGAGUGUGGGGGUGCUGUGAAGAUAGCAGAGUGGCAGUCAGAAUGCCACCAGGUGUGCUGGGGAGUGCAUGAUAGAGCACUAAUUGCUACAUGCUGUGACAGAGUGAAGCAUAUGUUCUCCCCACCCCUGUGCAAACUGUGGUCUGACAGCGGUAAUGAAAGUAGGAUAGGAUUUGCCAUGCCUUGUUAAUAUGUGAGCUCCAUGGUUCUGUCCCCAUUUUCAUUGGAUUUUUACUUUCCUCCAUCCCACCACUGCAACUUUUUUUCUCCUAAGCAAAACCAAGAUGAAGUGAUAACUAACUUUAGAACCUGUGAGUAAUUGAUACCAAAUCUAUCUAACUGAUCAGUCUUAUUUAGUCUUUGGUAUUUCUGAGGCACCUUUUAAUCUUUGGUCUGGUUUUUCAGAGGAAUUGAAGGUGCUCAACACCAGCUGAAAUCAGUGGGAACUCUGGAUAUUUAGCACCCUGGAGAAUCAUGCCCCUUGAAGCUAAGCAUUGAUGCCAAGUCAAAAAAAGUUGGCCUUUCCCUGCUGUACGAGUUUUGUGGUCUGCCCACUCCUGGUAAAUUCUAUACGUUGUUUUGAAAUUUCACUGGGCUUGUGUCAUCACAUUCUGUCAAGUUUUGAGAUAUUUACUGUACUUUUGGAUUUAUGACAUAAGGUAAAUUAGAGCCAAAUCAAGGAUGAUACAAGUAGAGAUAUCAUCUGGAGACUAAGGAGAGAUGAACUGGCUUCGAUAGCAGGGGAAAAAAAGCUUGAACCUUUGUCAGAACUUUAUGUAAGAUCUUUUGAGGCUUGAAAAUGUUAUGACGAGCAUUCCCCUUAAAUUAUGUUUUGUCCCUCCCCAUUCCCGUCUUUUUUCAAGAACUAGAAAUAAAACUGGCCACAAGGUAGGCUAUUCUUGCAGUAUUUCUUAAUCAACUAGAAGCAAGAAGGACCAUAUGUCUCUUCAUCUCAUUCCUAUCAGAUCUUCAGAUCACCUUUGCAGACCCAAGGCAAUGAGGUACCGGUAUCUCAGAUAAGCUAAAUAUUCAGUGUGGAAUCCUGGCUCCAUUUAAGUCAAUUGGAUGGUUGUCAUUGACUUAAAUGAUGCAAAGAUUUCACCAUUUGGGGUGCUUCUCCAAAUAAACAACAAAUGUACUUUCUGAAGUUCACCCAUCUCUAUAUAAGAUAUAGAACUGGCUUUCAGAAAAGAUGGAUUUAGUCCAGUUUUGCCAAUGACUUAUUCUGUGGCCUCGUGCAGAUUAUUGAACAUCUCCAUACCCCAUUUCGACAGUGGAGAUUUUGAUACUUAACCACUUUUGUAAAGUGCUUUGAGAUUGAAAGAAGAACAGUACUAAAUUAUAUUAAUAAUAAAUUAUAGCAUAGGAGAUUAAAACAGGCGUAGUGUAUUUUAACUCAGGACCAAGUGAAAUUUCUAUUUAAGUACUUUCAUUCAAAGAAACUACGUCUUUUGUUUCCCAUGUGAUGGUCUGGUUUUGGAGCACAUUAAAUCGUGAUCAGUUGUGUCUUACGCAAAAAAAAAAAAAGUAUACCAUAUGUAAAAACAAUCUAACAUAUUUUAUACGACACCUAGCUCUUGGUAUCUAAGUGCACCCUUCUCCUAUGUGUAAUGCCAAAUGCUGAUUCAAUCACAGUUUAAAAAAUUGGUGUGUGUAUUGGAGGAUCAAUAUGAGGUCUGGAGGAAAAAGGUGGAUGGUAUUUCAGUCACACCAGGACUGAGGUUGCUUUCCUCUCUUUUUUUAUUUGCUGCAAUCCUACAUGUUCUGCAGUCUGUAUAGAAUUACACUGGCCCCUUACCUUCAUUAGCAUCUUUUACAUUUCUUUCCAAAAUGCACUGGAUUUUAUUAAAUUUAUUACAAGUUCUUCAGGCUAUGGACAAGGACUAAAAUAAAGGCCUUUAUUAAACAUUUAAAAAAAUGGAUUCAAUCACCCAGCUCUCCCUUUAAUAUUAUGCCUGGGUUCUACAGUGAUGAAGCUAUCAGUAAAGAAAUACGGAGAGGUUUGGAGUGUUGUGUUUUUUUUUUAACAUGCUAAAAGCUUUCGCUGAGACCACUGCACAAUGCACCCAUUUCACCCCCCUGAAAAUUGCCUUAAUUUCAGUUUCAGAAUAAAAUUAAAUGCAAAAUUUCUGGUAACUAGAAAAUAAGCCAUUUAUUGUGAGGUUCUGAAACAAUCAGCUAAGGGCUUGUAUAAUACGAGCUUGUACAGUGUGCAAAUGCCUAUUUAAAGGGAUUGGAGAUCAUCAUUCUUUAUAAUCCAGUGUGGUAUUUUAUUCCAUCACCAGCAGCUUAAUUUAUUUCUUUUACCAUCUGUUCUUUUUCUUUCUCUCUCUGCCAAAAAAUCAAUAGCACUCAAUGAGCAAAACUGAGCUGUUCAGUAAUCUAACUGAAGCAACUUUUUGUUGUUGUUCAGAAGAUAUUGACCUGGUUCUUACAUUGGUUUAAUUUAAUUAACAAGUCCUUUGGUGAAUAAAAUUGUACAGAAGAAACUGUAAAUACCAAGUGUAUUGUAACCAGUCCUUGCUACCAUCAUUGCAACCCAGACUUUAUGAGCCAUAAUUCAGGGCAUGAUCAGCUUUUAGUUGUAGACAAUAGCAAAAGCCUAGUAAUAUGGGUCUGUAUCUUGGUCACCGAUCCAUGCAGAUUAUCACUGCCAGGGGCAGCAAGAACAGCCUGCACAACUAUGGAGAAGUAUGGUUAAGAAUUAUCCUCUUUCACAUAGAUUGUCCUUACCCCAGGCAUAUCCCUGAAUAUCCCCUCCAUACGUGCACAAUACUUCCGCAGUUUUAGUGAACCAUAGAUCACAGUUCCUAAGGCUGAUAUUAACCAGAUGUGGAGAGCUUGCGUAAGGCCCCUCAUGCUGUAAAUUGUUCAUCCAAAGGAGGAAGAGGGAUCUGAUAAUCCCAAACAGAGUUAAGCAUAAACAGGCAUUGCUAGAGGCAGACCAGGAGAGGAAUUACUGGCUGCUACUCUGAAACCUGUGUUUGCAUGUGGAUACCAGGACCUAGAAUUCUUGCACUGUGGAUACAGAGAGGCUGGAUCAGGUGGGAAUGGGUUGCAGGUCCUUGGCCUGUGAGUGAGUUGGGUGUGUUCGAUUGCAACCUCCCAAUGCCCCACAAAACGCCUUUAUUUUGUGCUGUGUGUCUGGAUUCCACCCAAAGGCCCUGAUCAUGCUCUCAUUCAAGUUAAUAGCAAAGCUUUGAUUGACUUCAAUGAAACAGGAUCAGGCUUUAUGAGAAGGCAUAUAGUGAAUGGAUAUUGCCUGACCUUUCAUCCAGUAGGUCUAAACAGGUAUCUAGGUGUAUUAGAUCAUGCUAUGAAAUAGCUAGAUUAGAUCCACCCAUUCAAGUUAGAGCCCACUUCACCAGGGCUCAGGGUAUGGCUACAUUUGACAUUUCAAAGCACUGCUGUGGCAGUGCUGCGGGAGCGCUGCCGUGGCAGCGCUUUGAAGUGUGAGUGUGGUCGGAGCGCCAGCGCUGGGAGAGAGCUCUCCCAGCACUGCACGUAAACCACAUCCCUUACGGGUGUAGGUUGCAGCACUGGGAGCCGCACUCCCAGCGCUGCGGCACUGAUUACACUGAGGCUUUACAGCGCUGUAUCUUGCAGCACUCAGGGGGGUGUUUUUUCACACCCCUGAGCGCGAAAGUUGCAGCGCUGUAAAGCUCCAGUGUAGCCAUGGCCUCAGGAAGCUUCUGCAGCUUCUUAAGAAACAUCCCUACCUCAGAAAUUUAUAGGUUAGCAACAUAACUAGAAUGUGUUUUAUGCUACAUGUACCAGGUAACAUAUCUCUGUAAAGGUCAUGAUCUACUGAAUCUAUUCAUCCUAUUUGUAUGCAUGUAUCAUUUUUGUAUUUGAAGUUAUGAAUAUUGGAUACUUGUUUGAUUCUAAGUAGGCUGUAGUGAAGCAGUUGGUCAGCUUCCAGAGAAAAGACUAUUUUCAGUAAGUGCUCCAUCAAGAAACGCUUAAGCCAACAAUGAACUUGGAGACACCAAUCCACAUCUGGACUUUCCCAGGAAUGUGGCUUGGCUGGUAAGGAACUCAGUCAUGCAUGGACAUCUGACUUGCCCAGGUGACUCCAAACCUCCAUUUUGUAGCUGGACUUCGCAUAGGAGAGAGGAGGGGGUCUCCAACCGCAAGAGAAAGUCUAUUUAAACCCAGGGAAUCGCCCUCCAUUUGGUCUUCAGCUGGCUAAAGAGAGAGCUCCUCCACCCCAAAAGAUACCUGAAAGAAACUGGAAAAAAGGACAGUGACUGCAACGAGUGUGAGUGAUUGCUGGACCCAGACUAAAAGGAGAUUAGUCUGUAAAAGGAAGCAGUCUGGAACUGCUGAGAUUAUCUGUAUUCAGUUUGAUUAGAAAUAAAUUUGCAUGUUUUAUUUUA
This is a long non-coding RNA of Gopherus flavomarginatus (Mexican gopher tortoise), 6929 nucleotides long. RefSeq lists it as uncharacterized. The record is from RefSeq and is a predicted model, not a curated record. The transcript has 5 exons. Lineage: Eukaryota; Metazoa; Chordata; Testudines; Testudinidae.